This 320-nucleotide ribosomal RNA is filed under the name uncultured bacterium. RNAcentral describes it as "bacterial SSU rRNA". It matches the Rfam family "Bacterial small subunit ribosomal RNA", at positions 470 to 789 of the family's 1533-position model. The record is from RNAcentral.
UGACGGUACCACUUGAAUAAGCUCCGGCUAACUACGUGCCAGCAGCCGCGGUAAUACGUAGGGAGCAAGCGUUAUCCGGAUUUACUGGGUGUAAAGGGCGUGUAGGCGGGACAUCAAGUCAGAUGUGAAAGCACGGGGCUCAACUCCGUGUCUGCAUUUGAAACUGUAGUUCUUGAGUGUUGGAGAGGCUAACGGAAUUCCUAGUGUAGCGGUGAAAUGCGUAGAUAUUAGGAGGAACACCAGUGGCGAAGGCGGUUAGCUGGACAAUAACUGACGCUGAGGCGCGAAAGCGUGGGUAGCAAACAGGAUUAGAUACCCUG